RNAcentral lists this ribosomal RNA (700 nucleotides) under uncultured Mycobacterium sp. Its description in RNAcentral is "bacterial SSU rRNA". It matches the Rfam family "Bacterial small subunit ribosomal RNA", at positions 133 to 833 of the family's 1533-position model. The record is from RNAcentral. Lineage: Bacteria; Bacillati; Actinomycetota; Actinomycetes; Mycobacteriales; Mycobacteriaceae.
GCACUUCGGGAUAAGCUUGGGAAACUGGGUCUAAUACCGGAUAGGACUACGGCCUGCAUGGGUUGUGGUGGAAAGCUUUUGCGGUGUGGGAUGGGCCCGCGGCCUAUCAGCUUGUUGGUGGGGUGAUGGCCUACCAAGGCGACGACGGGUAGCCGGCCUGAGAGGGUGUCCGGCCACACUGGGACUGAGAUACGGCCCAGACUCCUACGGGAGGCAGCAGUGGGGAAUAUUGCACAAUGGGCGCAAGCCUGAUGCAGCGACGCCGCGUGGGGGAUGACGGCCUUCGGGUUGUAAACCUCUUUCACCAUCGGCGAAGCCGGGAGCUUUUGUUUCUGGUGACGGUAGGUGGAGAAGAAGCACCGGCCAACUACGUGCCAGCAGCCGCGGUAAUACGUAGGGUGCGAGCGUUGUCCGGAAUUACUGGGCGUAAAGAGCUCGUAGGUGGUUUGUCGCGUUGUCCGUGAAAUUCCCUGGCUUAACUGGGGGCGUGCGGGCGAUACGGGCAGACUGGAGUACUGCAGGGGAGACUGGAAUUCCUGGUGUAGCGGUGGAAUGCGCAGAUAUCAGGAGGAACACCGGUGGCGAAGGCGGGUCUCUGGGCAGUAACUGACGCUGAGGAGCGAAAGCGUGGGGAGCGAACAGGAUUAGAUACCCUGGUAGUCCACGCCGUAAACGGUGGGUACUAGGUGUGGGUUUCCUU